UUAAAACCUACACAAAAAAAAAAAAAACGAGCUCCCAACUCUCUCUCGCGUCCGCCAUUGGAGAUAUGGGAGUACCGUCGAAGAAAAUUGCUAAUGGAAAACGUCACGAUUCUACAAAGUCCUUUAAACCAACGAAGAAACCGUUUAAGAAGACGAAGGACGAUUUAGCUGCUAGGUCUGAAGCCGCUCUACAGCUCGAAGAUGUUCCUGACUUCCCUCGAGGUGGAGGUAGUUCUCUGAGUAGAAAAGAGCGUGAGAAAAUUUAUGAAGAAGUGGA
Camelina sativa (false flax) is the source of this 277-nucleotide non-coding RNA. NCBI's taxonomy places the organism in Eukaryota, Viridiplantae, Streptophyta, Magnoliopsida, Brassicales, Brassicaceae. The record is from RefSeq and is a predicted model, not a curated record.